This 608-nucleotide ribosomal RNA is filed under the name uncultured bacterium. RNAcentral describes it as "bacterial SSU rRNA". It matches the Rfam family "Bacterial small subunit ribosomal RNA", at positions 839 to 1447 of the family's 1533-position model. The record is from RNAcentral.
CUUAGUGGCGCAGCUAACGCACUAAGUUGACCGCCUGGGGAGUACGGCCGCAAGGUUAAAACUCAAAUGAAUUGACGGGGGCCCGCACAAGCGGUGGAGCAUGUGGUUUAAUUCGACGCAACGCGAAGAACCUUACCUGGCCUUGACAUGCAGAGAACUUUCCAGAGAUGGAUUGGUGCCUUCGGGAACUCUGACACAGGUGCUGCAUGGCCGUCGUCAGCUCGUGUCGUGAGAUGUUGGGUUAAGUCCCGUAACGAGCGCAACCCCUAUCCCUAGUUGCUAGCAGUUCGGCUGAGAACUCUAGGGAGACUGCCGGUGACAAACCGGAGGAAGGUGGGGAUGACGUCAGGUCAUCAUGGCCCUUACGGCCAGGGCUACACACGUGCUACAAUGGUGCGUACAGAGGGCUGCAAACCCGCGAGGGGGAGCUAAUCUCACAAAACGCAUCGUAGUCCGGAUCGGAGUCUGCAACUCGACUCCGUGAAGUCGGAAUCGCUAGUAAUCGCGAAUCAGAAUGUCGCGGUGAAUACGUUCCCGGGCCUUGUACACACCGCCCGUCACACCAUGGAAGCUGGUCACGCCCGAAGUAGUUACCCUAACUUUCGAGA